Molecule: long non-coding RNA, 2180 nt
Organism: Triticum aestivum (bread wheat)
Lineage: Eukaryota; Viridiplantae; Streptophyta; Magnoliopsida; Poales; Poaceae
Exons: 6
Source: RefSeq, a predicted model, not a curated record
CCCCGCUCGCGCCGCCGCCUUCCUCCCCCGGCCCCCGCUCGCGCCGCCGCCUUCUUCCCCCGGCCCCCGCUCGCGCCGCCGCUUUCCUCCUCUGUCCCCCAUCGCGCCGCCGUCUUCCCGCACUUGCCACCUAUCGCGCCGCCGCCCUCCCCUGCCCCCCAGCUCGCGCCACGGCCCGCCCUCUCCUGCAGUCCGGUGACCAAGAUGCUUCAGUCCAAAUCCAUGUGCGGGGAGCUACGAGGAUGAAUUGCUUUUUGGUUCAACUCUGAUGCAUUGUCGAUGGGAUUACGCACAAGCCAUUUUUCAAUGCAACAAGAAGAUGUACGAAAACUUGUGCCGAUGUACCUUGUCCUGAAGCUCCUAUACGCACUUAUUUGCCCAGAUGUAUGAAUCUGACCGUAAGAACAAGAUUCGUCGAUGCUCCUCUUUCUCGGCUAGUGAGCCAACACGGGUGUCCUCAUGGCGGCCUCCCUCCGACGAUCUGAGGUGCCCUCAUGGCCUCCUCUGCUUCCUACCUAGCAGAUCACGGCGGCCCUCCCCCACUUGCUGCUCAUCAUCAUCGAUCUCAACAACGAUGAGGGGCCAAAAUAAACGUGAACCUCGUCGCCCUCUUCAUGGUGAUCCAAUUUUGAAAAGUUCACUCCAUCUGCAUGUGCAAGUUCACUGCCUCGCCGGCCUGCGGCUCCUCCAUGGACGCCUAGCUCCUCUACUAGAGCCACCGCGGCCCACGACAGCCCAAGGUGGCGGAGUUCGUUGCGUCCAUCAGUCCAACCCCAUGGCUUCAGGGUGGCCGAGUUUUGUCGCGGCCGUCAGUUCGGACACCUGCGUCACUGCGUGCGUUGCUACCACUGCCAUUUGCGUCACUGCAUGCUCUGUCACCGGCCUCAUGCGCACCGUGACCCCUGGCGCACUCCUUCCUCUCCGUGACGCUGCUCGUGCCCUCCCAGGCUUGAUCUCCUGCUGCAGCGAUGAGCUCCUGUACAUUGCUGAAGUUUCGUACCUGACGGCACCAGAACGAGGAUGCAGCAGCCAGGCUGGACCCCAGUUCGUGCCUCCCUCUCUCUCCCUUAGCUACAUCAUCACUGUUGCAGUGCUGCUGAUUGAUUUCUUGUAGUGAACUGUGAUGCUCUACUGACGGAGAGAAGUUUGGAAACUGCACAAAUAUUGGUAUUUUGGAGUUAUGAAUUUGGUGCUCCGUAGGUGCCUGCUGGUAUAUGCAAGUGCUUAAAAGUAUUUAGGUGGGUGGUUCGACACCGCUGCGUCCAGCAGUCCAACACCGCCGCCUGAGGCCGUUCACUGUCGCAAUGCCUACUUUCGCCCGCGCCUCCUUCCCGGUCAUCGUGAGGUGCUUGUUAGGACUUGGGCACGAGCUCGUCCAGCAGGGGUGCUGGCAGCCGUCCAAGUGGAGUGUUGAAAACAGUACGAGUAGAAUCACGGGUCGCGGCCACCAACUUCACCAAGUGCUGCACAUCCGUCCAAGUCGAGCACACACACAGGGAGAACACCAGCGCCUUUGCUUUGCACAUUGCUUGGUCAUGCAUAAUUGCUGAUGGAUGCAGCAAGUGUUUUAUUACUUUGAUCUUCUACAAGACUCAAUUUUGUCUCAGUUUUCAUGGAUGCUAGCCGGCAAGUGACAUAAUUUUGGUUGCCAUUUCUCUAUGUAGCAGAUUCCAUCCGCACAAAAAAUGCUACUGCAAAUUCUUCUAUGUAAAAUAUGAAUAAGGUUCAAUUCACAAAAACAUGUGGAAGUUCGCUUGGGAAAUUCUGCAGUCUAUUUGAUUAUGUCAGGAUGUACAGAAUGACGACUCUUUAUUGUGUGCCUUCAGCACAAUUUAAAAUUACUCAUUGACCGUAUGUCUAAUCGGUUUUUCUUUGUUUACAGAAAAACUAAUAUGUGAGGAUUAUCUCAGGUUUCUUUUUGAACUUGUAGCGUUACUGUACAUGAACUUGUACAUUACCUUGUUAUCAAUUUAUGUGUAUGUGUGUUGGUAACCACUGCUACUAGCUACUAGUUACCGAUCUGACCGUUGUAUUAGUGCAGCUGCUCUAUGUAAUUAGCCCCUUGUUGUGUGAAUCUUGUACUAUUUGCUAGCUUUGGCAUUGUAAAAAUACAACAAGUUCACAGCUAAAAAAGUUAUAAGUUCAACACAGCGUAAUAGAUUAGUUUUUUGUUAUGGAUA